GUUUUAAUAGUUUAAUAAAAACAGUGAUUUUGUAAAUCAAAAUUAGUAAAUACUUUAAAACU
This 62-nucleotide transfer RNA is filed under the name Nesidiocoris tenuis. Its description in RNAcentral is "tRNA-Thr". Lineage: Eukaryota; Metazoa; Arthropoda; Insecta; Hemiptera; Miridae. The record is from RNAcentral.